GCUGGGGUGGCUUAAGCGAUAAUAGAAAUAUUAUUGCGGCAAAGCGCGGGACUCAUAAUCCCGAAGUCGGGGGUUCAAAGCCCCCUCCCAGCA
RNAcentral lists this transfer RNA (93 nucleotides) under Candidatus Heimdallarchaeota archaeon. Its description in RNAcentral is "tRNA-Met". It matches the Rfam family "tRNA". From Rfam's summary of the family: Transfer RNA (tRNA) molecules are approximately 80 nucleotides in length. Their secondary structure includes four short double-helical elements and three loops (D, anti-codon, and T loops). Lineage: Archaea; Promethearchaeati; Candidatus Heimdallarchaeota. The record is from RNAcentral.